Molecule: ribosomal RNA, 255 nt
Filed under: uncultured bacterium
Lineage: Bacteria
Description: partial 16S ribosomal RNA
Rfam family: Bacterial small subunit ribosomal RNA
Source: RNAcentral
UACGGGGGGAGCAAGCGUUGUUCGGAUUUACUGGGCGUAAAGGGCGCGUAGGCGGCCACCGCAAGUCAGUUGUGAAAUCUCUGGGCUUAACCCAGAAAGGUCAACUGAUACUGCGGGGCUAGAGUGCAGAAGGGGCAACUGGAAUUCUCGGUGUAGCGGUGAAAUGCGUAGAUAUCGAGAGGAACACCUGCGGCGAAGGCGGGUUGCUGGGCUGACACUGACGCUGAUUGUGCGAAAGCUAGGGGAGCGAACGGG